UCGAGAAUCUUCGGCAAUGGGCGCAAGCCUGACCGAGCGACGCCGCGUGCGGGAUGAAGGCCUUCGGGUUGUAAACCGCUGUCGAAGGGGAGGAAAUGCUAGUGGGUUCACCCAUUAGUUUGACCGAUCCUUGGAGGAAGGGCCGGCUAAUCUCGUGCCAGCAGCCGCGGUAAUACGAGAGGCCCAAACGUUAUUCGGAUUUACUGGGCUUAAAGAGUUCGUAGGCGGUCUGGUAAGUGGGGUGUGAAAGCCCUCGGCUCAACCGAGGAAUUGCGCUCCAAACUGCCAGGCUCGAGGGAGAUAGAGGUGAGCGGAACUGAUGGUGGAGCGGUGAAAUGCGUUGAUAUCAUCAGGAACACCAGAGGCGAAGGCGGCUCACUGGGUCUUUUCUGACGCUGAGGAACGAAAGCUAGGGGAGCAAACG
Molecule: ribosomal RNA, 424 nt
Filed under: uncultured Pirellula sp.
Lineage: Bacteria; Pseudomonadati; Planctomycetota; Planctomycetia; Pirellulales; Pirellulaceae
Description: partial 16S ribosomal RNA
Rfam family: Bacterial small subunit ribosomal RNA
Source: RNAcentral